This 695-nucleotide long non-coding RNA is filed under the name Gopherus agassizii (Agassiz's desert tortoise). Its description in RNAcentral is "lncRNA (ENSGAGG00000007773.1)". The record is from RNAcentral. Lineage: Eukaryota; Metazoa; Chordata; Testudines; Testudinidae.
GAGGGGCACCAGUUAACAUCACCCUCUCCCAUCCCCCAACAGCCUCCCUCUUGAGCUCCUGCCUCCAGCUGGCACAAGCCUGGGACGGCGUCACCAUCAGGCAGGAGCCGGCGGCCCUUGACGUGGGGGGGGACAUGACCCUGGUCGUGCUGGGCAUCCCCCAGACCCUCCUGGUCUGCAGCUGGUACCGAGGGGCAAAAGCCGGCAUCGCCGCAAACUGGAUCCUGAGCUAUGCCCCAUCGGCCACCCCCCAGAAGUUCUACGGCCCGGCACACACGGGGCGGGAGACAGUGGGGCCCGACUGCUCCCUGCACAUCACAGGGCUCAGGGGGACCGACGUUGGCAGCUACACCCUGACUGUACAGGGGCCUGGGUACAACCAGGCCAUCUCCAUGAGCAUCUCCUUCUCCGUUCGACCGUUACCCGGGUUCCUGGCUCUCGUUGUGGGCGUGCCAUUGGCAGUUCUGGUGUGUGUGGCUCUGCUGGUGACUUUUAUCUUGUGUAAGAGACGUCGCGACUCAGGUGCCAGCAACCUGAUCGAGCCUCCCGGGGAGAGAACAGGGAUUGUUCCACAGUAGAAGAACCUGCCUCUCGGGCAGGGCCAGCUGCGAGUGCCAGGAACUCAGCCUGCCUGAGCUCUGCCUGUGCCCCUCACUCCCAAACCGCAGCUGUUUCGGAGAGGCGGAAAAAGUCAC